CCUACGGGAGGCAGCAGUGGGGGAUAUUGCACAAUGGGGGAAACCCUGAUGCAGCGACGCCGCGGGGGUGAAGAAGCGCCUCGGCGCGUAAAGCCCUGUCAGCAGGGAAGAAAAUGACGGUACCUGAAGAAGAAGCCCAGGCGAACUACGUGCCAGCAGCCGCGGUAAUACGUAGGGGGCAAGCGUUAACCGGAUUUACUGGGUGUAAAGGGGGCGCAGACGGGGAUGCAAGCCAGGAGUGAAAGCCCGGGGCCCAACCCCGGGACUGAUCUUGGAACUGCGUGGCGAGAGUGCAGGAGGGGCAGGCGGAAUUCCUGGUGUAGCGGUGAAAUGCGUAGAUAUCAGGAGGAACACCGGUGGCGAAGGCGGCCUGCUGGACUGCAACUGACGUUGAGGCCCGAAAGCGUGGGGAGCAAACAGGAUUAGAUACCCUGGUAGUC
Molecule: ribosomal RNA, 440 nt
Filed under: uncultured bacterium
Lineage: Bacteria
Description: partial 16S ribosomal RNA
Rfam family: Bacterial small subunit ribosomal RNA
Source: RNAcentral